UUCCGGUUGAUCCUGCCGGACCUGACUGCUAUCGGAUUGAUACUAAGCCAUGCGAGUCUUUGCAGUAAUGCAAGGCAUACGGCUCAGUAACACGUAGUCAACUUACCCUAUGGACGAGGAUAAUCUCGGGAAACUGAGCAUAAUACUCGAUAGAUCAUAAUGCCUGGAAUGGUUUAUGGUUGAAAUGAUUCGUCGCCAUAGGAUGGGACUGCGGCCUAUCAGCUUGUUGGUGAGGUAAUGGCCCACCAAGGCGAUUACAGGUACGGGCUCUGAGAGGAGAAGCCCGGAGAUGGGUACUGAGACAAGGACCCAGGCCCUAUGGGGCGCAGCAGGCGAGAAAACUUUGCAAUGUGCGAAAGCACGACAAGGUUAAUCCGAGUGAUUUCUGCUAAAGAAAUCUUUUGCAAGUCAUAAAACCACUAGUGAAUAAGGGGUGGGCAAGUUCUGGUGUCAGCCGCCGCGGUAAAACCAGCACCUCAAGUGGUCAGGAGGAUUAUUGGGCCUAAAGCAUCCGUAGCCGGCUCUGUAAGUUUUCGGUUAAAUCCAUGUGCUCAACACAUGGGCUGCCGAAAAUACUGCAUAGCUAGGGAGUGGGAGAGGUAGACGGUACUCGGUAGGAAGGGGUAAAAUCCUUUGAUCUAUCGAUGACCACCUGUGGCGAAGGCGGUCUACCAGAACACGUUCGACGGUGAGGGAUGAAAGCUGGGGGAGCAAACCGGAUUAGAUACCCGGGUAGUCCCAGCUGUAAACGAUGCAGACUCGAUGAUGCAUUGGCAUAUAGCCAGUGCAGUGUCGCAGGGAAGCCGUUAAGUCUGCCGCCUGGGAAGUACGUACGCAAGUAUGAAACUUAAAGGAAUUGGCGGGGGAGCACCACAAGGGGUGAAGCCUGCGGUUCAAUUGGAUUCAACGCCGG
Molecule: ribosomal RNA, 913 nt
Filed under: uncultured marine archaeon
Lineage: Archaea
Description: bacterial SSU rRNA
Rfam family: Archaeal small subunit ribosomal RNA
Source: RNAcentral